Molecule: RNA transcript, 2412 nt
Organism: Oryza brachyantha (malo sina)
Lineage: Eukaryota; Viridiplantae; Streptophyta; Magnoliopsida; Poales; Poaceae
Gene name: rac-like GTP-binding protein 2
Exons: 4
Source: RefSeq, a predicted model, not a curated record
CGCCGUCCUCUCCAUCCCCGCCGUCGCCGAGACGUCCUCUCGAUCCCCGUCGCCUCACGGUCCUCUACAUCAUGAACUAAUAAAAUUGUAUGAUCUCCGCCACCGUCAUUCUGGCCGCAGCUGCAUUUGGUGUAAAUAGCGUGGAGACGAACCGGAGAUUCGUCUCGUGGUUCGUUGCGUUGGUUUGCUUGGUUGUUUUUACUGGCUUCCGCUUUAGAUGGGUUGAUAAAAAGAAAAGUGUGCAUUGGUUGAAGGCUGUUGCGCCACCAGGAUUACAUCCCCACAGUGUUCGACAAUUUCAAUGCUAAUGUUUCAGUGGAUGGGAACAUUAUAAACCUGGGAUUAUGGGACACUGCUGGGCAAGAGUAUUACAGCAAGUUGAGGCCACUGAGCUACAGGGGAGCUGAUAUAUGUGUGCAUGCACUACCUAAAUACAUGAUUAGAUGUGGAUUAUUUAUUUAUCGGUGCCUUCUUAUGAUACUCUGUUCAAGACUGAAAACACUGAUAGAAACUGAUAGCGCAAAAACUGUGUUUUAUUGAAAAUAUAUGGCUUGUUUCUUAUAUAGUAAUUUCAUCAAUAGUGUUUCAAUACUUGUAGAAUUCUUGAAUUGCUCCAGCUGCACAAUUUGUUACGCCGUGAAUUGUUGUGAAAAAAAAUUAUCGUUUUUUGAAUAUAUUAGCAAUCUAAUACAUCCAAUUGGUUGGUGGAUGUAGACAGUUACCCCAUUUGAGAUCUCAACAUAGAAAUUUACAGGAAUAAUACUAUUUUCUUAUAAUUCUUUUUUAAGGUGUCAACAAUUAUCUAUUGCUCCAGUUGUUUCUUGCAACAGCCAUCUUUGACAUAUGUGUCAACAAUUUUUUGGAUUUUUUUUGCUUUGUUAGUCAGAGUAUAUUGAUGCCUACAGGUACAAGCUUUAGUUUCGCUUCGGGCGCUAUAAUUGAUUUAGUUGAUGUUGAUUGUUUUGACAGCCUGGACCGAGGGAUGCACCAAUGCAAUGCUUCAUCAGGAGGAACAAAAAGAACUCAGCCUUCUUUCUUUAUCUCAGCUUAACGCAAGGUAAGUCAGCUUGGAUAAUUUUUGCUUCCAUCAUGCUUUUGGCCCAAUGUUAUUAUGAAUUGUGUGUGGCUUUGUAGACUGAGGGAAAAUUUAACCAUUUGCCACUCUUACGGGUGGUCUUAAUCUCAUGUGUCCCACAUGUCAUAGACACAUGAGAGUGGCAAAAAGUUAAGACCACUCGUAAAAGUGGCAAAUAGUUAAAUGCCCCACUGACGGAGUCAACAUGGUUUCCAGAUUGUUCUUUUGGUUUAAUUAACUAUGCCAAGUAGACAAAAUAAAAGCAUAUUAACUGACUUUCGGGUGGUUUCUGUUCUAUCACUGAUCAAUUGCACAAUUAAAUUAAAUCCUGUCUAUACUAUAUCAAAUUGGAGUAGGUAGUAGCACGGUUAUAAACACAAAAAAAGUUUGUCUGCUAAUGUUGUCAAGGUCUUUUCUAUGUAUGGCUUGUGGGUCAUGACAUGCGAUCUAAAUGUACUUAAUCUUGUUUUAAAACAAGGACUUUUUUUCCUUCUUUUUAUCCAUUACAAGUCACAACUUUCUUUUACAGUGACCCUCACACCUACUUUGCUGCCCAUCUACAUAAUUUAAGGGCUUAAUAAGGAAUAUUUGACUAAGUGACUUUGGUCUUUGGUAUCGUCUUAAACUCUUAUUGGCCAUCAUAAAUUUUGAAAGCAUUAACCGUUUAACAUACUAUAAUCGAUCAAGUGAGAGGCUAGGUAACCAUGAUGCUGCGCCACCAAUUACACGGUGAACUUUGUAUGAUCCAAGUAUCUGACAAAGUAUAACAAUCAAAACCUUGUCCAUUACUAAUAACUUUUUUAAUCAUUUAGGCGCAUUAUUAUUAUGUGCUGCACGUGAAUUCCCCUGUUUAUUGUUAACUACAUGAAUUGUGAUCGUAUACACAAGGGUGCAGUACAGCCUAAACCAAGGAAUAAACACAGUACAACCUAAACCAAGGAAUAUGCACAGCAACUAUUGAGUUGAUCUUUCCUAUGUCAGCUCUCAGAAAUAUAAGUUAAAUUAUUAGGUAAACAGAAGGUAACUAGCUAUCGCUUCAGGCUACAGUACUAUGGACUUCAUGUUUUUGAGGGGAUGUGUGUGUCAAACCUGAUGGGUGCUUAUUGAUAUUAGAAGGUUAGGCACAACUAUGUAUCUUUGAUAAGUUUAAAAUUCUAGAAUGACUCUAAGCACCCCAUGGACCACUUUAUUUUGUUGACUGAUAUUCUGAGUGUGAAGAUUGUGAACCUUAUCACAUGAUUGAGAACAUGUGGUUAUGAAAUUGUGAUGCGGUCCUCUUGUGUUGGCGGCUACAUGAAGGUUUAUUUCUUUAAUACAAUUAUUGCUUCUAAGUAUCA